RNAcentral lists this ribosomal RNA (447 nucleotides) under uncultured bacterium. RNAcentral's name for it is "bacterial SSU rRNA". It matches the Rfam family "Bacterial small subunit ribosomal RNA", at positions 330 to 797 of the family's 1533-position model. The record is from RNAcentral.
UCCAGACUCCUACGGGAGGCAGCAGUGGGGAAUAUUGCACAAUGGGGGGAACCCUGAUGCAGCGACGCCGCGUGGGUGAAGGAGCACCUCGGUGCGUAAAGCCCUCUCGGCAGGGAAGAAACAGACGGUACCUGACUAAGAAGCCCCGGCUAACUACGUGCCAGCAGCCGCGGUAAUACGUAGGGGGCAAGCGUUAUCCGGAUUCACUGGGUGUAAAGGGAGCGUAGACGGCGACGCAAGUCUGGAGUGAAAGCCCGGGGCCCAACCCCGGAACUGCUCUGGAAACUGUGCGGCUAGAGUGCUGGAGGGGCAGGCGGAAUUCCUAGUGUAGCGGUGAAAUGCGUAGAUAUCAGGAGGAACACCGGCGGCGAAGGCGGCCUGCUGGACCGUGACUGACGUUGAGGCUCGAGAGCGUGGGGAGCAAACAGGAUUAGAUACCCCAGUACA